UUUUUUUUAAAUGGAUUUAGUGUUGUAUUAUAGACACCUUCCCAAAGUGAGUUAAGAAAUUAUUUAUUCGAACUCUGUGUCUCCUAUUUUUUAAUUUAAGUUAAUAAGUCGUAGGCUGGUUUUGGAUAAAAAAUUUACUCAAAAUAUUUCAUAAUAUUAAAUGGUCUAUAGUGUCGUAUGCUUUAGCUAAAUCUAGGGAGACAGUUGCGCAUUUUUUUUUUACUUUCAUAUGGUAUAUUUUUGUAAAAUAUAUUUAUACUUAUUAUAAGUUGAGGAUUUCAUUUAUAUUGUAAAAUUGUA
Non-coding RNA from Cinara cedri, 300 nucleotides. The record is from the annotation of a GenBank genome assembly. Lineage: Eukaryota; Metazoa; Arthropoda; Insecta; Hemiptera; Aphididae.